RNAcentral lists this ribosomal RNA (253 nucleotides) under uncultured bacterium. RNAcentral describes it as "partial 16S ribosomal RNA". It matches the Rfam family "Bacterial small subunit ribosomal RNA", at positions 524 to 776 of the family's 1533-position model. The record is from RNAcentral.
UACAGAGGUGGCAAGCGUUGUUCGGAUUUAUUGGGCGUAAAGGGUCCGUAGGCGGCCUGGAAAGUUGGAUGUGAAAGCCCACAGCUCAACUGUGGAAUGGCAUUCAAUACUGCCAGGCUCGAGUGUGAAAGGGGUAAAGGGAAUUCCCGGUGUAAGGGUGAAAUCUGCAGAGAUCGGGAAGAACACCAGUCGCGAAGGCGCUUUACUGGUUCACAACUGACGCUGAGGGACGAAAGCUAGGGGAGCAAACGGG